UUCCCAAACAUCAAAACACGAACCCUAAAUCACAUCCCUCUUUCCUGUGUGUCUAGAGAGAAAAACAGAGCAGAGAAUCAGCUCGAUCUAGAAGAAGCUCUUCAAGCUUCCAGAAACGCUAGUCAAUCAUACUCUACUCAUCGCAGAGAGUGGCCACCUUUGUUAGAGGUGGGUGAUACUGGGGAAUUUCCUUCUGUAUGUAAUACAGCAGGCGGUGAAGGCACGGCUUUGGAUUUUUUUCCAAAGAUUCGACGGGUUUGGGCAUCCGUGGAGAAUUCUCUGUUUCUGUGGCGUUUUAACAAAAGUUGUUGCUUUGUCAAUUAGGGAUGGGCAAUGUCAGGAUAUUUGUGCGGUUAGUUUAACCAAAUGUAGAUCUGUUUUUUUUUUUUGGUGAAGCUAUUCAGGACAGAGGGUCUUGAUCUUCCUGAUGUACUCGUAGAAGUCGAAAAGUGUGGAUCCUAUUUUGACGAGUUGCUAGCAGUUCCUGAACACGAUGAUUGGAUAUAUAGCGAUGGGAAAUCAACUUUUUGUAUCACUUUCAUCCUCGAAAUGUACAAAGAAGGUGGCUUGUUGGAUCCAAUCUCUAGUUCCAUCCAAGUUGCUGAAUUCACGAUCAAGGAUGCUUACAUGCUCAAGUUUUUUUAGAACAAUGCAAGCUGUUUGCCUAAAUGGUGCAACGACAACAAUGAUGUAAAGCUACCGCACUGUCAAAUCCUUGGGAAAUACAGAAUGGAGCUUCCCGGUUACAACACUAUGGAGCCAUACCCGCAUACGAACGAGCACUGCUCGUCUCUGCGUGACUGCGUCCAAAGUACCAUAGACCAAAGAACUGCUAGAACAAAUAUAUUAAGUGUUGUCUGUUUGUUAGGAAUGACUUGGUGUAAUGAUCCACGAAUAUGUGACAAAGUUCACUUCAAAUACAUCUGUAAAGAAAGAGAGUGCGACUCAUCAUUGUCGUCUUUGUAAUAUGCGUUUAAUAUUUGGGUUUUAGAUACUACUUUAUGGAUACAUUGUUAGGCUCAGAUUUUGGAUUAUAGUGUAUGAGUUCAU
This is a long non-coding RNA of Brassica oleracea var. oleracea, 1050 nucleotides long. RefSeq lists it as uncharacterized. The transcript is spliced from 5 exons. The record is from RefSeq and is a predicted model, not a curated record. Lineage: Eukaryota; Viridiplantae; Streptophyta; Magnoliopsida; Brassicales; Brassicaceae.